UACAGAGGUCUCAAGCGUUGUUCGGAUUCAUUGGGCGUAAAGGGUGCGUAGGUGGCGGGGUAAGUCGGAUGUGAAAUCUCAGGGCUCAACCCUGAAACUGCAUUCGAUACUGCCUUGCUCGAGGACUGGAGAGGAGAUUGGAAUUCACGGUGUAGCAGUGAAAUGCGUAGAUAUCGUGAGGAAGACCAGUGGCGAAGGCGGAUCUCUGGACAGUUCCUGACACUGAGGCACGAAGGCCAAGGGAGCAAACGGG
Molecule: ribosomal RNA, 253 nt
Filed under: uncultured bacterium
Lineage: Bacteria
Description: partial 16S ribosomal RNA
Rfam family: Bacterial small subunit ribosomal RNA
Source: RNAcentral